CUACGGGUCGCAGCAGUGAGGAAUAUUGCACAAUGGGGGGAACCCUGAUGCAGCAACGCCGCGUGGAGGAUGACGCAUUUCGGUGUGUAAACUCCUUUUAUAUGUCAAGAAAAUGACGGUAGCAUAUGAAUAAGCACCGGCUAACUCCGUGCCAGCAGCCGCGGUAAUACGGAGGGUGCAAGCGUUACUCGGAAUUACUGGGCGUAAAGGACGCGUAGGCGGGUUGAAAAGUCAGGUGUGAAAUCCUACAGCUUAACUGUAGAACUGCACUUGAAACUUCUAAUCUAGAGUAUGGGAGGGGGAGAUGGAAUUAGUGGUGUAGGGGUAAAAUCCGCAGAUAUCACUAGGAAUACCUAAAGCGAAGGCGAUCUCCUGGAACAUUACUGACGCUAAGGCGUGAAAGCGUGGGGAGCAAACAGGAUUAGAUACCCGUGUAGUC
This 439-nucleotide ribosomal RNA is filed under the name uncultured bacterium. Its description in RNAcentral is "partial 16S ribosomal RNA". It matches the Rfam family "Bacterial small subunit ribosomal RNA", at positions 339 to 795 of the family's 1533-position model. The record is from RNAcentral.